CCUGACUUGGGUUGGUCAAACUCUUCUGAAAGAGAAAUGAAAUAGUGAGAAUGUGUGGACUUCUCCACCAACAGGUUCCCAGUGCAGGACUAUUUCUGCAACAUGUCAAGUUUUCAAAAAAACAACAGUAGUCAGGUUAUGUCAGAUGCUCCGUCCAGCACCGUUUAGAUUGUGUGAGAGGAUCCAGGCCUUACGUGUGAGAUGAAUUCACUGCUGUCGGAGCUGAAGAGGUCGAGGCUGCGAGUUCCGUACAGUAAACCUGGCUCUCUGGAGCUCUGGGAACUCAGCGUGUCGAAGAUCUCACCGAGCAGGUCCAUCUCCUCCGGGUCGGCCAAGAGAGAGAGAUCAUCUUCAUCUUCCUGUAAGUCGCUGGUGGCAGAGCACUGCUCAGGAUUUUCUGUUACACUGGAAAGGUGGUGUUGUCAUCCUCUGUCUGGUACUCAUUGUCCUGUGGGCUGGGCUGUUUGCGUGCUGGCCUCCGCGGUCGAGACUGAGAAAUAAAGCCGCAAAUAAAGUGUGUGAAAAACAAAAA
Labeo rohita (rohu) is the source of this 532-nucleotide long non-coding RNA. RefSeq lists it as uncharacterized. The record is from RefSeq and is a predicted model, not a curated record. The transcript has 3 exons. Lineage: Eukaryota; Metazoa; Chordata; Actinopteri; Cypriniformes; Cyprinidae.